GAUGAACGCUAGCGGGAGGCCUAACACAUGCAAGCCGAGCGGUAGAGUCUCUUCGGAGACUUGAGAGCGGCGCACGGGUGCGGAACACGUGUGCAACCUGCCUUUAUCUGGAGGAUAGCCUUUCGAAGGGAAGAUUAAUACCCCAUAAUAUACUGGAUGGCAUCAUCUGGUAUUGAAAACUCCGGUGGAUAGAGAUGGGCACGCGCAAGAUUAGAUAGUUGGUGAGGUAACGGCUCACCAAGUCAGCGAUCUUUAGGGGGCCUGAGAGGGUGAUCCCCCACACUGGUACUGAGACACGGACCAGACUCCUACGGGAGGCAGCAGUGAGGAAUAUUGGACAAUGGGUGAGAGCCUGAUCCAGCCAUCCCGCGUGAAGGACGACGGCCCUAUGGGUUGUAAACUUCUUUUGUAUAGGGAUAAACCUAGAUACGUGUAUCUAGCUGAAGGUACUAUACGAAUAAGCACCGGCUAACUCCGUG
This 479-nucleotide ribosomal RNA is filed under the name uncultured bacterium. RNAcentral's name for it is "partial 16S ribosomal RNA". It matches the Rfam family "Bacterial small subunit ribosomal RNA", at positions 28 to 507 of the family's 1533-position model. The record is from RNAcentral.